This 253-nucleotide ribosomal RNA is filed under the name uncultured bacterium. RNAcentral's name for it is "partial 16S ribosomal RNA". It matches the Rfam family "Bacterial small subunit ribosomal RNA", at positions 524 to 776 of the family's 1533-position model. The record is from RNAcentral.
UACGUAGGGGGCUAGCGUUGUCCGGAAUCAUUGGGCGUAAAGCGCGCGUAGGCGGCCCGGUAAGUCCGCUGUAAAAGUCCAGGGCUCAACCCUGGAAAGCCGGUGGAUACUGUCGGGCUCGAGUCCGGAAGAGGCGAGUGGAAUUCCUGGUGUAGCGGUGAAAUGCGCAGAUAUCAGGAAGAACACCAAUGGCGAAGGCAGCUCUCUGGGACGGUACUGACGCUGAGACGCGAAAGCGUGGGGAGCGAACAGG